This 468-nucleotide ribosomal RNA is filed under the name uncultured bacterium. RNAcentral describes it as "partial 16S ribosomal RNA". It matches the Rfam family "Bacterial small subunit ribosomal RNA", at positions 28 to 507 of the family's 1533-position model. The record is from RNAcentral.
GACGAACGCUGGCGGCGUGCUUAACACAUGCAAGUCGAACGGUGAAGCUCCAGCUUGCUGGGGUGGAUCAGUGGCGAACGGGUGAGUAACACGUGAGUAACCUGCCUCUGACUCUGGAAUAAGCCCUGGAAACGGCGUCUAAUACUGGAUACGAGAUGGUCCUGCAUGGGGAGUUUCUGGAAAGGUUUUCGGUUGGGGAUGGGCUCGCGGCCUAUCAGCUUGUUGGUGAGGUAAUGGCUGACCAAGGCGACGACGGGUAGCCGGCCUGCGAGGGCGACCGGCCACACUGGGACUGAGACACGGCCCAGACUCCUACGGGAGGCAGCAGUGGGGAAUAUUGCACAAUGGGCGAGAGCCUGAUGCAGCGACGCCGCGUGAGGGAUGACGGCCUUCGGGUUGUAAACCUCUUUCAGCAGGGAAGAAGCGAAAGUGACGGUACCUGCAGAAGAAGCGCCGGCUAACUACGUG